GGAGCUGUGUGCUCUAGUGGAGGAUCCACACUGGACACUGGACACUGUCAGGUUGGAGCCCAGUGGAGUCCGAUGGUUGAGACCAGGUCUGAGGAAGUGUAAGUGGAUUUCCAUUGGAUUAAAGAUGAAACCCAACCUGAACAUAGAGUGGGAGCUGGUACCACAUUAGAAAACACAGCAACUGUCAGUGAAGACAGAGGGGGAGCUGACAGCUGAUUGGUCAGGACACGGAUCACAUGACACAAAUACCCUGAGGGACGAGUCCUCAGAACCUCCGACCAUUGGCCGAUCACACCUCCUCUGUCUUUAUGGAUCAUUCUAGUGUGGUUCUUGUGCCGCUGUCUGAUAAAGGUGGAAGACCAACAAACAAUACAGUCAAAAACACAGCUGAGUCCAUCAGGAGGAAAGUUUGUCA
Molecule: long non-coding RNA, 415 nt
Organism: Sphaeramia orbicularis (orbiculate cardinalfish)
Lineage: Eukaryota; Metazoa; Chordata; Actinopteri; Kurtiformes; Apogonidae
Exons: 2
Source: RefSeq, a predicted model, not a curated record